CCUAACGGGUGGCAGCAGUGGGGAAUAUUGGACAAUGGGCGAAAGCCUGAUCCAGCCAUGCCGCGUGUGUGAAGAAGGCCUUCGGGUUGUAAAGCACUUUCAGUGGGGAAGAAAGCCUUGGGGCUAAUACCCUCGAGGAAGGACAUCACCCACAGAAGAAGCACCGGCUAACUCCGUGCCAGCAGCCGCGGUAAUACGGAGGGUGCGAGCGUUAAUCGGAAUUACUGGGCGUAAAGCGCGCGUAGGCGGUCUGAUAAGCCGGUUGUGAAAGCCCCGGGCUCAACCUGGGAACGGCAUCCGGAACUGUCAGGCUAGAGUGCAGGAGAGGAAGGUAGAAUUCCCGGUGUAGCGGUGAAAUGCGUAGAGAUCGGGAGGAAUACCAGUGGCGAAGGCGGCCUUCUGGACUGACACUGACGCUGAGGUGCGAAAGCGUGGGUAGCAAACCGGAUUAGAUACCCUGGUAGUC
RNAcentral lists this ribosomal RNA (466 nucleotides) under Vreelandella stevensii. RNAcentral's name for it is "partial 16S ribosomal RNA". It matches the Rfam family "Bacterial small subunit ribosomal RNA", at positions 338 to 795 of the family's 1533-position model. Lineage: Bacteria; Pseudomonadati; Pseudomonadota; Gammaproteobacteria; Oceanospirillales; Halomonadaceae. The record is from RNAcentral.